UACGAAGAGGGCUAGCGUUUUUCGGAAUCACUGGGCGUAAAGCGCACGUAGGCGGAUUUGUUAGUCAGGGGUGAAAUCCCGGGGCUCAACCUCGGAACUGCCUUUGAUACUGCAGAUCUCGAGUCCGGAAGAGGUGAGUGGAAUUCCUAGUGUAGAGGUGAAAUUCGUAGAUAUUAGGAAGAACACCAGUGGCGAAGGCGGCUCACUGGUCCGGUACUGACGAUGAGGUGUGAAAGCGUGGGGAGCAAACAGG
Molecule: ribosomal RNA, 253 nt
Filed under: uncultured bacterium
Lineage: Bacteria
Description: partial 16S ribosomal RNA
Rfam family: Bacterial small subunit ribosomal RNA
Source: RNAcentral